Nicotiana tabacum (common tobacco) is the source of this 710-nucleotide long non-coding RNA. RefSeq lists it as uncharacterized. Lineage: Eukaryota; Viridiplantae; Streptophyta; Magnoliopsida; Solanales; Solanaceae. The record is from RefSeq and is a predicted model, not a curated record.
GAAAUACUUCAGAUACAGCCCAGUUCAAAACUCCUCCCUGUCUCUCACCUUCCUCAACAAACCCUAGCGCCGCCCUCAAUCUCUUCGCCAUUUCCGGCCGGCGGCGGAGCUCAAAUACCACCAAAAUCAAGCCAUGCAACCAUCACCCUUCCCUCAGCCCCAAUCCACCACCAUUUUUCCCCAAAUCCUCACCAAAUCAGGUCAGAUUCAAAUCUAAAAACGAAGAGAAGAAAUCUGGCAAGCUGUCAAGUUUUCUACGAACGAUGCGGCUUGAAACUAGUAUUGUUUGUCUGUUCUCAAAGAGAACAUGUGGGUAAUACCAGUUUCGGGUCAAGUCGAAGUCGCCUGAGGUUGCCAAGUUUUGUCCGUGCGGUUACCUAGGUACGCCUUGGAUCUCUUGUCAUGUGAAGUGAAAGUGUGAAUCCCUGUAAUUCAAGUUGAAGAAAAUGAUCGACACUAAUGUUCUGCUGCUUGUUCAAUUUGAAUUUGAUUUUUUGGUUCAUCUUAGUAUAGCUCUUUUGUGCAUUUCAUUUUAUUUUAAGGUUUAGACUUGGAUUUAUUGGGAUGUAUCCGAUUUGAGAUUGUUUUAGACUCUAUAAUGUGUAAUAAUUAUGGACUGUGAUUGGUAAUUCAGCUGGCUGAAACUGUUUGGUUUUUUUGUGAUUUCAUAAGGUCAAAUUCAUGUCAACUCCGAUCAUAAGCUUACUGAA